UGGUUCAGUUGUAGAAUUCCCUGCCCCAACUUAUCCCGCAAAACACUGAGAAUCUCCCGACCUCCACCGUUUCCAUCCCAGACCCCCUGAAGAAGGGGAGGGGCUUGGGGAGCCCUACCUUGUCAUGUACCAUCAAUAAAGUAUACUGUACC
This is a non-coding RNA of Callorhinus ursinus (northern fur seal), 152 nucleotides long. The record is from RefSeq and is a predicted model, not a curated record. Lineage: Eukaryota; Metazoa; Chordata; Mammalia; Carnivora; Otariidae.